Gallus gallus (chicken) is the source of this 2977-nucleotide long non-coding RNA. Lineage: Eukaryota; Metazoa; Chordata; Aves; Galliformes; Phasianidae. The record is from Ensembl.
GGAUGUCACAUGUCUUCCUGAAUGCCUGUCCUGCACAGAACUGACUCUUGGGCUCCUUGCACUUUGGGAGAAAGGGUACCAGAAAAGGGCAGAAGUACAAAUGAAGAGUGGAAAGAGCCUCAUCAGCUCCUGUGCUGACUCAAUGGCUGCCACCUCCAGCCCCUGGAGCACCUCUGCCAGGUUCCACCAUCUCCCUGGAAGGAUGGAGCUCAGAGCCAGGCUGGCCUAGUACUGCAGGUGGGUUGUGCUGCCCAAAGCACAGCACCAUCCUGCCUACUGCUGUUUCUGCCAGGACUAGAUGUUGUGUGGCACUGGGAUACCUAGAGAAGGACUGAACAACUUCAUUUCUGUCCAGCUGAGAACUCCUCAUUCAUCUAAACAUCAUAGGUCUGAGUCCUUCAGAGCAAAAACAAAGGGCAGAAGAGGACUUCUAAGACUUUCAAACUCUACACCACAUAUAAGGAAUACAUGUUGUCAAGAACAGUAAUGAAGUUAACUGGCCACACAUCCAUCUCUGGGAUAGCCCUUGUGGAGGAUACAGCAAGGAAUUCACUGGCUUUUUAAUGAAGGGCAACCAACUAACCAACCAACCAAAUAAACAACAACAACAACAACAAAAAAACCCUACAACAACAAUAACAACAACAACAAAAUAAAAAACCCACCAAAGAUAAGAAGAAACAUACAAAACCCAAAACAAAGAAACACCUCCUCUACAAAGACCAAUAUAAUCUCACUCUUCUUCAUUUGUUUUCUUUGCCUUCUUUCGCUCUACUUUUUAUUUUAAAUCUUUUGCCACCAGAGCAUAUCUAAACAUUGCAUUGAACAUGCCACCAUUAGUAGAAGUGUUCAGUUCCUCCACAGAGUUUCACUGAUUACUAUGGACUCUUAUUGGAGUUAAGCUCAUUUCCACAAGUCACAUGAGGGGCCUUACAAGUUAAUUUUUCACAGCUGCAUUACAAGAGUAGAUGUUUACUUUGCUCAUAUGACAGGGUCAUAUCUAUGCUGAUGACAGAAUAUAAAUAUGCAUACAUAUAAUUUUUAACCUGUUGAAAAGAUCAGUAAAGUACAAUGGAAUUUAAGGUAUUGAUGCUGGGGAAGGAUGAAAAAUGAAAGAAAUGACAAAGUAAGCAAAAUAAACGUGUCAGAUUGUACAAUUCCCUUAAAACUGGAUGGAGGCUCCAUGGGAACAUUUUGCCAGCAGGUAGGAUGCCAGAAAUAUCGUCUUUCUUCAACUAUUGAUGCUCCUUGUUGAAUUUUAUAGAUGGCAAUAUCUCUUUCUGCAGUUGUUUAGUAUUGCCAUUUAAAAGGUGAGUAGAGAGAGAAGGUAGGGACAUGGCAUCAAAAACUAGAUAGGAUCAAAGAGAAGCAUGACCAGAUGAGGAGAAAAUAUCGCUUAAUAUUUUAAAGGUUAGAAGUUCUACUAAAACAGUUUGUAAAUGCAUUUUCAUUUUGUUCCUCCUCUACCCAUAAGCAGAUGGUAAUGAAGAACCAUCAGUAGCUUAAAUUUAUUUGUCCUUUCUUUCCCCUUACCUUCUAUCGAUGAAUAGGUGCUGUAGUUGCAAGAGGCCAAACCUCAUGAGUAAAGCAAUAAGCACAAAAGCAUCACUAUUUAAGACCAUCUCUUUUUAGUGCAGUACAUUGGUAUUUACUGACUUGCCUCAGUAAAUGUUUGUCAAUCCAAAGUAAAAACCUGAUUAGUCCAUGCCAUAAAAAUGUCUCUGUAAGCUAUGAAGUUGAAAACAGUGAACAAUUCUGAAUUUGACUGUUCCUGAGAGAACACACAUAUUUCACAAAUUAAUAAAGGCAAGACACAGCUGGAAAACACAAGAGAAAGGGCCAUCUGUGAGGGACCAGAACGUAUAUUUAUUUCAAACCAAAAAGCAAGCAGCUUGUACCUAAGUAGGAUCUUGAGAGCAUGUAACUUGUCAUGCAGCAAAAACUCCUGAUACACCUUCCUAAGUAGCACUGAGGGCUAUUACUCAAAAAGGAAGUUUUACAGAAUUUAAUUUUUGAAAACAAGUCUCUUUCCUAUAUGUGAAUAUUAAAGAUUUCCGACAGUUAAGUAAGAAUGGAUUGGAAGGCACAAAGGAAUGUGCAGUACGACGAAGGCUCUUUUUACUCACUUGAAGCUAAUCUGGAUACUGGAAACAUUAAUUGGAAGAAGAAGCCCUAAAGGCAUCAGGUAUCUGGUUACAUUUACUCUCUUUAUAUAUCAAUUGGUGUUUAAUCCUUUUUCCUGCCAUUUGCCAUUUCUGUUGAUCUGUGGCUACAAGAGGCUUUUGAUGGGGAAGAGUUUCACAUGCUACAGAACAGUCCAUGAGCUUCUCCAUGAAUUUCUACGUAUUUAUUGCCUAAAAUUUAAAUAUGAAUGUCAAUCCUGUCAAUAUGUCAAAAGCAAUAACACAGAUGUUCCAGAGACGUACUCACAUCACCCCCAAAACAGAAAAGGCACUAGGGAUGCAUGGAAGCAGUUAGCAAUAAGAUACAGGAAAAGUGAUCCGACAUGAGUUUGACCAUCUCUAGAUAAGAUUUGUUGAGUUGACAGCAAGUGAGAACCAGCAAUUAAACAACCAUCAAAACUGUGUAUAUGACAACGAAUUUGGUCUUUUGCUUCAGAUAAAAGCAGUAUAAACUGAUUUACAGAAGAGUAAAGGUUCAAACUUCUCACUUAACAUUUGGGUGUUACUGAAUGCAUUUAUUUCACUUUGUGAAAAGCACUUUGGAAGUUACAUAGGAUGAAAAGUGAACUUAGCUCAAGAAACUACUGUGGCCUCUUUUGCCUAUGGAUAAAGUUAUAAUCUUUGAUUAUGUGAUUGUAUCCUGUUUUUCUUCACAAAAUCACUAUCUAAUUCCAUACAAAAGUUAAAUGCACAAUGGGAUAGAGUUCAAGUCUGGAUGGAUGAAUAUCAAAUGAUGUACUUUUGUAAGUCUGAAACGUCUUAACCUGACACAUCCAUAAAAUAAUUCUGUCUUU